This 463-nucleotide ribosomal RNA is filed under the name uncultured bacterium. RNAcentral's name for it is "SSU rRNA". It matches the Rfam family "Bacterial small subunit ribosomal RNA", at positions 26 to 523 of the family's 1533-position model. The record is from RNAcentral.
AGAAUCAACGCUGGCGGCGUGCCUAACACAUGCAAGUCGCACGAGAAAGGGGAGCAAUCCCUGAGUACAGUGGCGCACGGGUGAGUAACACGUGAAUCAUCUACCUCCGAGUGGGGAAUAACUGAGAGAAAUCUUAGCUAAUACCGCAUAACACUUACGAGUCAAAGCAGCAAUGCGCUUGGAGAGGAGUUCGCGGCAGAUUAGUUAGUUGGCGGGGUAAUGGCCCACCAAGACGAUGAUCUGUAUCCGGCCUGAGAGGGCGCACGGACACACUGGAACUGAAACACGGUCCAGACUCCUACGGGAGGCAGCAGUGGGGAAUUUUGCGCAAUGGGGAAACCCUGACGCAGCAACGCCGCGUGGAGGAUGAAGCCCUUGGGGUGUAAACUCCUUUCGAUCGGGAAGAUAAUGACGGUACCGAUAGUAAGAAGCCCGGCUAACUUCGUGCCAGCAGCCGCGGUAA